Molecule: small RNA, 335 nt
Filed under: Histoplasma capsulatum
Lineage: Eukaryota; Fungi; Ascomycota; Eurotiomycetes; Onygenales; Ajellomycetaceae
Also listed under: 1 other name
Description: hypothetical RNA
Source: RNAcentral
UUCGAGACCAGAACCUUAAUCUGGCGCCUUGGACCGCUCGGCCAUCUCGCCUAGCCACAGUGACGCAAUGUUAUCAUUUUUUCAUUUCUACUUUCUCAGAUUCAAUGUUUCAUCUUAUUUUAUUGAUUUUCACUGUGAUUGACGCUAUUUCUAUUGAUUGAUUUAUUUGAAGGGUUUUUUGAUUCUAAGCUGAAAUUUUAUUUUAUUAGACAGAGCGAAGCGAAGUCUAAGAAUCAUAAGGGGACAAAAGUUACUUCAUUUUAUAGCUGAAAUGAUUGGAUGUCAAUCUUUGCAACAAUGUGGGUUAAAAUUCAAUGAUAUUAGUGAUGUAGAGC